This 520-nucleotide ribosomal RNA is filed under the name uncultured bacterium. RNAcentral describes it as "partial 16S ribosomal RNA". It matches the Rfam family "Bacterial small subunit ribosomal RNA", at positions 28 to 507 of the family's 1533-position model. The record is from RNAcentral.
GACGAACGCUGGCGGCGUGCCUAAUACAUGCAAGUCGAACGCACACUCGCUGAGAUUGAUGGUGUUUCGUUCGGAGCGAUCAAGAUUUUAACGAGUGGCGGACGUGCGUGUAACACGUGGAUAACCUGCCCAAACGUGAGGGAAAACCUUUGGAAAUAGUUGCCCAUACCGCUUAAUACCUAACACCGGCUGUUGUGGGGCUGAUAGAUGGUUUCGGCUCUCAUUUUAGGGUGGAUCCGCGGGGCAGUUGUUAGGUGGUGAGGUAAAGGCUCACCUAGACCGAGAUGCAUAACCCAACUGAGAGGGUGAUCGGCCACACUGGGACGUGGACACGGCCCAGACUCCUAAGGGAGGCAGCAGUAGGGAAUCUUCCACAAUGGACGGAAAUCUGAUGGAACAACCGCGCGUGAGUGGAGGAAGGUUUCGGAUCGGAAAACUCUGUUUUUGGGGAAAAAAGUAUCUGGUAGGUACUGAUCAGGUAGUGACGGUAACCAAACAAGAAGCCCCGGCUAACUACGUG